GACGAACGCUGGCGGCGUGCUUAACACAUGCAAGUCGAACGGAAAGGCCUCUUUCGGGGGGUACUCGAGUGGCGAACGGGUGAGUAACACGGGAGUAACCUGCCCUUGACUUUGGGUUAACUUCAGGAAACUGGGGCUAAUACCGGAAAGGAGCUCCUGCUGCAUGGUGGGGGUUGGAAAGUUUCGGCGGUUGGGGAUGGACUCGCGGCUUAUCAGCUGGUUGGUGGGGUAGUGGCUUACCAAGGCUUUGACGGGUAGCCGGCCUGAGAGGGUGACCGGCCACAUUGGGACUGAGAUACGGCCCAGACUCCUACGGGAGGCAGCAGUGGGGAAUAUUGCACAAUGGGUGGAAGCCUGAUGCAGCAACGCCGUGUGCGGGAUGACGGCCUUCGGGUUGUAAACCGCUUUCGCUCAUGACGAAGCUUUGUGUGACGGUAGUGGGUAAAGAAGCACCGGCUAACUACGUG
RNAcentral lists this ribosomal RNA (467 nucleotides) under uncultured bacterium. RNAcentral describes it as "partial 16S ribosomal RNA". It matches the Rfam family "Bacterial small subunit ribosomal RNA", at positions 28 to 507 of the family's 1533-position model. The record is from RNAcentral.